GCGCCCGUGGCUCAGCUGGACAGAGCAUCUGACUACGAAUCAGAGGGUCGGGGGUUCGAAUCCCUCCGGGCGCACCA
This 77-nucleotide transfer RNA is filed under the name Deltaproteobacteria bacterium. Its description in RNAcentral is "tRNA-Arg". It matches the Rfam family "tRNA". Rfam says of the family: Transfer RNA (tRNA) molecules are approximately 80 nucleotides in length. Their secondary structure includes four short double-helical elements and three loops (D, anti-codon, and T loops). Lineage: Bacteria; Pseudomonadati; Myxococcota; Myxococcia. The record is from RNAcentral.